RNAcentral lists this ribosomal RNA (254 nucleotides) under uncultured bacterium. RNAcentral describes it as "partial 16S ribosomal RNA". It matches the Rfam family "Bacterial small subunit ribosomal RNA", at positions 79 to 334 of the family's 1533-position model. The record is from RNAcentral.
CUUUCUUUGCUGACGACCGGCGCACGGGUGAGUAACACGUAUCCAACCUGCCCUUUACUCGGGGAUAGCCUUUCGAAAGAAAGAUUAAUACCCGAUAGCAUAAUGAUUCCGCAUGGUUUCAUUAUUAAAGGAUUCCGGUAAAGGAUGGGGAUGCGUUCCAUUAGGUUGUUGGUGAGGUAACGGCCCACCAAGCCUUCGAUGGAUAGGGGUUCUGAGAGGAAGGUCCCCCACAUUGGAACUGAGACACGGUCCAA